GCGCGCUAUUUAAGAUGUGUAUGAACUGUUUUUUUCUGGAAUUCGCUAAUUAAUAUUUUCAGACCGUGGUUGACCGUGGGUAACCGAAACCGCAGAGAGCCAAACCGCAGAUCCUUCAUACUGCAUGCCUGGAUGCUAUAACCAGAUUUCACCAGUGAGGAGGUGUGGUUAGCCUGGGGUCUCCAUCUUCAACAGAGAUGCUCCAGAUAAACUCUUCUUUCAAGCAGAGUUUGGGCUACACCGCAGUUCUUCCCCCAUGGAGUCAACUCUGAAACAUGCAAGAGAAACUGUAAGGAAUUGUAUUCAAGAAAACAUUUCCAGGGAUCAGAAGUCCUUCGUGGGUCUCAAUGGGCUAAAAUCAAGGUGCCUGCGGGGCUGCAUUCCUUCUGGAGGCUCUAGGGAAGAAUCUGUUUCCUUGCCUUUUCCGGCUUCUAGAGGCUGCCCACGUUCCUUGGUUCAUGGCUCUCCUUCUCCAUCUUCAAAUCCUGCAGCGACUGGCCUUCUGCAAGUGCGUCAGAUUGGGCCGCGCCCUGGCCAGCCUGGUCCUGCAGGUGAAGAGGACGGUGAGGCCCUGAUACGGCUCUGCCCCUCAGACGUGGGAUGGAAAUGAAUCCUCCCAGCAUGGUGUUUCAUACAUAGCUGGUGCCAGGAGGAAUAUUAAAAAUAUUUAGUAACUGACUAGGGCACCAACUGGUCAGAACAGAUGUUGGGGGCUAACACCUCGUACAGCGAUGCCACCACGAACCCACUAAAUGUCAGCCCUGUGGGGUACAGAAUUGUUCAUUGGCUCAUAAAAUGGACCCAGGCUGUGACCGGUUCCUUCUUCUGGAGCAGAGGGGUUUUCUCUUGCUGGCUGCCUCCAAGUUCCCAGGGUUUCAUACAUUCUGCACUGGACAGGCUCGCCAGGACAUCGAAGACCACUACCAACAGCUGCUACAAGUUUAAAACCUUUAGAAGAAGGAAUCGAUUGCAGUUUGCUCCUGAGGGUCUCAAGGGAAAGGGUUCUCUUCUUUCCAUGAUCCUUCUUGCUCGCCGAUUCCCACCAGCACGCUCAAGACCAGCAUCGCUGAGCCCUCGCUGUGUGCCAGACCCUGUCACCACAGAGCACUGAGCAGAGUUCCCUGUGCUAUACGCAUUACAGAUGUGACUGUGGAAGCCAAUACGAUAAUACAGAGUGAAAUUCAUGUACUGCCAGCAGAUUUAGCUGUUUUCUCGCCACAUGUUAUGUUCGUUAAGACUGAGCUAUCAUCAAAACAAAACAAAGGAGUCGUUCAGGAAGGAUUACUACUCAUAUAUUAAAGACUCCAAGUCUGAGGCUCUUUCAUCAUCUCCCAUAUCAUCAGUCAUCAGGAGAGAACGUUGAGGGAGAGCACACACUGCCUUCGAAUAAACCUUCCCAAACCUUCUGAGUUGUGAUAUUCAACAUAUGAAUAUUAUAGCACAGCAAUGAAAAAGGUGAGUCAGGACUUCUCUGGUGGCGCAGUGGUUAAGAAUUCCCCUGCCAAUGCAGGGGACACGGGUUCGAGCCCUGGACCGGGAAGAGCCCACAGGCUGCAGAGCAACUAAGCCCAUGUGCCACGACUACUGAGCCUGCGCUCGAGAGCCCACGAGCCACAACUAGAGAAAGCCUGCGUGCAGCAAUGAAGACCCAACACAGCCAAAAAUAAAUAAAAUUUAAAAAAAAAGAAGGUGAGUCAAAGGCAAGCAAAGCAUUAUGGUGUCUACCUGCAGAAGGAACCUCCACCUUCAUCUGGGCUGCAAGAACCAGAAUGAGCCUAUUAUCCAUUUUUGAGUGCAGAGCCAGGCCUCAAAUGUAUCUCCAUGUUAUUUCCUCUUCUUAAACCUGAAAUAAAUUUUAGUUUUUAAGCUAUAGCAACAACAACAACAACGACAACAAAUGGUUAUUCCAUGGACCGCAGCUUCAUAAUAGUUUCACACUUCAGUCUCAACACUGUCGCACCUCUGAUGGCACAGAGUCAGCUCCCCAACAAUGAUGGCCUAAUUCAUAAGAAAGCACCCAGCACACUCUCUGGCACCUGGUAUUAAUAACAGUUGAUCGUAACUGUUGAGAACUGGAAUUCAAUGGCAGCUUCCUCUACGAGUUUCUCCAAGAUUUGUUUGAGGAAGUUUUCCACCUAGGAAAUCAUACCAACGUCCUUUUCUCUUAUAACUAAAUAUCCCUAGAAAUGGAAGCUUGCAGGUUCCUAUCUUUUUCAAGGCUCAACUUUGCUUCCAAAGAGUUAUGAUUUGCUCUGUUGAAGGAAAUCUUAAACAUACAAAACUAAUUGCAGACCGGAUUUUGCAGUAGUCACUGAAGUCCAAAGUUUUAAAUUAUUUUCAUGAAUUAUAGUGGAAUGAAGGAAGGGAAAUGAUGUGAGGGCAGGAUGGCUAUUUUUGUGACUUCUUGUAAGAAAAGUGUUUUAUUCUUCACAAUUACUCAUCCUUUGGAAGCAGGGCUAAUCCUUUAUCUGAGAAAGGCAACAAAUCAUGGUGUCUGAUUGGAAGGGCACAGAGAGGUCUCUUUUCCACUCCAGUAAGAAAAAUAGUUCUCUGAUUGGUCUGCCACUAUGUCUGAAAUUCCAACUAUGAUGCCUUAGUCUAAAGACAAGACUCUAUUAUAAAAAUGCAAAUACAUUCUCCAGGAAAGGUAAUAUUUUAUAUCCGUACAGAUAAUAAAUUUAAAAAAACUAACUGGUCCAUUAGCUUGUCCCAGAGGAAAUGGGUGCUAGAGAGGGUUCCAGUCCCUACAAUAUAUUCAAUCACAGAUGGAUCACCACUUGUUAGUAACAUUACAAAAGUGACUCUUACAUUGAUCGGGGCAUUGUGAUUGCAUGAACACUAGUCCGUGUGCUCUCUGAGGCCAGGAGCCCCAUCUCCCUCUUGGAGUCCCCAGCAUGUAGCCUGUGGCCUGCUAGCACAUAGUAGGCUCUGUAGUCCCCUAGCCCCCUUUUUUUUAAAGACUAUUCUUUUUUUAAAAGAGCAGUUUUAGGUUGACAAUAAAAUUGUGAAGAAGAAGGUACAGAGAUUUCCCAAAUACUCCCAGCCUCCACGUAUCCAUAGCCACCUCUAUCAACAUCGCUCAAUAGAAUGGUACAUUUCGGGCUUCCCUGGUGGCGCAGUGGUUGAGGGUCUGCCUGCCGAUGCAGGGGACGCAGGUUCGUGCCCUGGUCCAGGAGGAUCCUACAUGCCGUGAAGCGGCUGGGCCCGUGAGCCAUGGCCACUGAGCCUGCGCGUCUGGAGCCUGUGCUCUGCAACAGGAGAGGCCACAGCAGUGAGAGGCCUGCGUACUGCAAAAAAAAAAAAAAAAAAAAAAGUACAUUUCUUUUCUUUCCCUUUCUUUUUUACCAAGGAUGAACCUACUUUGACACAUCAAAUUACCCAUAAAUCCAUAAGUUUAUCUUAGGGUUGACUCGAUGUUUUACAUUGUAUAGGUUUGGACAAAUGUGUAAUGACGUGUAUCCAUCAUUAGAUCAUGCAGAGUGUUUUCACUGCCAUCAAAAUCCCCUGUGCUCUGUCUAUUUAUCCUCCACCUGCCAACAACCACUGAUUUUUUUGUUAUCUCUGUAGUUUUGCCUUUUCUAGAAUGUCUUAUAAUUGGAAUCAGACAGUAUGCAGCCUUUUCAGAUGGUCUUCUUCGCUUAGUAAUACGCGUUUAGCUCUUCUGUGUCUUCAUGGUUUCAUUGCUCAUUUCUUUUUAGUGCUGAAUAAUAUUCCGUUGUCUGGAU
Mesoplodon densirostris (Blainville's beaked whale) is the source of this 3725-nucleotide long non-coding RNA. RefSeq lists it as uncharacterized. The transcript has 11 exons. The record is from RefSeq and is a predicted model, not a curated record. NCBI's taxonomy places the organism in Eukaryota, Metazoa, Chordata, Mammalia, Artiodactyla, Ziphiidae.